RNAcentral lists this long non-coding RNA (604 nucleotides) under Mustela putorius furo (domestic ferret). RNAcentral describes it as "lncRNA (ENSMPUG00000027185.1)". The record is from RNAcentral. Lineage: Eukaryota; Metazoa; Chordata; Mammalia; Carnivora; Mustelidae.
CUGGACCAGGGGUGGCAAGGUUCUAGAAGGCUACGGAGGACUGAAAACAUGGCUGUUGCCAUUUUUGGUCAUUUCUCUUCUCUUGCCUAUACGAACAACGCUGGACUAUACACCCGGGUCCACAUCACCCCCGGACCAGUGUUUCUGAGGCCGCUUGUGUGCGAUCCAUAACCUGCCUAUUUCCUGCCACCGCGGAGAUUCCGUCCUCUGGGAAUGCUGCUCUCAAUGUUGUCUUGAUUUCCCUUCGUGUUUUGCCACCUACGCCUGUGUCCGCACUCAGUAUCUUGCUUUCGUUUCACAUGAUUUGGAACUUCGGAGAACGGAAACGCGCACUAGGUCUUCCUCGGUGGAAGAGCUUCUCUGGGGUGUUCUCUAAGAAGAACCACUGGAUCCAUGCAGAUACUUACCACGUGAGGCCACGUUACUUUCCAAAGUGAUGACACCAACUCAUCCCCUCCCCCCACCACGAGCACCGACCUAUCCUGCCUGCUUCAACGUCACCAACAACGGAUAGUUUCAGACUUUUAAAUUUCUGCUGCUCUGGCAGGUGUGAAAUGUGUUUCAUUAGGAUUGAACAUUGUGUUUUCCUAAUUGGUAAUUAAAC